RNAcentral lists this ribosomal RNA (400 nucleotides) under uncultured bacterium. RNAcentral describes it as "bacterial SSU rRNA". It matches the Rfam family "Bacterial small subunit ribosomal RNA", at positions 355 to 746 of the family's 1533-position model. The record is from RNAcentral.
UGGGGAAUCUUGCGCAAUGGGCGAAAGCCUGACGCAGCAACGCCGCGUGAGUGAUGAAGGUCUUCGGAUCGUAAAGCUCUGUCGGCAGGAAAGAAGGGUUUUUUGGCUAACAUCCAAGAAAUCUGACGGUACCUGCAAAGGAAGCACCGGCUAACUCUGUGCCAGCAGCCGCGGUAAUACAGAGGGUGCAAGCGUUGUUCGGAAUUAUUGGGCGUAAAGGGCGCGUAGGCGGCCUCGUAAGUCAGAUGUGAAAGCCCAGGGCUCAACCUUGGAAGUGCAUCUGAAACUGUGUGGCUAGAGUCUCGGAGAGGGUGGUGGAAUUCCCAGUGUAGAGGUGAAAUUCGUAGAUAUUGGGAGGAACACCGGUGGCGAAGGCGACCACCUGGACGAUGACUGACGC